This 256-nucleotide ribosomal RNA is filed under the name uncultured bacterium. Its description in RNAcentral is "partial 16S ribosomal RNA". It matches the Rfam family "Bacterial small subunit ribosomal RNA", at positions 57 to 305 of the family's 1533-position model. The record is from RNAcentral.
GCAAGUCGAACGAGAACGGACCUAGCUUGCUAGGUUGUCAGCUAAGUGGCGCACGGGUGAGUAAUGCAUAGAUAACGUGCCUUCUAGAAAGGGAUAACAGUUGGAAACGAUUGCUAAUACCUUAUAUGCCUCUAAAACAGAAGUUUGCGAGGGAAACGGUUUACUCCGCUAGAAGAUCGGUCUAUGUCCUAUCAGCUAGUUGGUGAGGUAAAAGCUCACCAAGGCAAUGACGGGUAGCUGGUUUGAGAGGAUGAUC